UUAAGAUUAAAGAUUUAUCGGUAUGUGAUGGGGAUUCGUUCCCUUAGGCUGUUGACGGGGUUACGGUCCUCCAUAUUUCCGAUGGAUAGGGGUUGUGAGAGGAAGGUCCUCCUCAUUGGAGUUGAGACACGGUCCUAUCUCUUACGGGAGGCAUCAGUGAGGAAUAUUGGUCAAUGGGCGAGAGCGUGAUCCUCCCAAGUAGCGUGAAGGAUGUCGACCCUCCGGGUCGUAAACUUAUUUUGUGCGGGAAUAAAGGAAGUUGCAUGUAGGUUUUUGCAUGUGCUGUAAUGAAUAAGCAUUGGCUAUCUGCGUGCCAGCAGCUGCGGUAAUACGGAGGAUGCGAGCGUUAUCCGGAUUUAUUGGGUUUAAUGGGAGUGUAGUCGGGUUUUUAAGUCAGUUGUGAAAGUUUGGGGCUCAACCUUAAAAUUGCAGUUGAAUCUGGAUUCCUUGAGUCCGGUCGAGACAGGCGGACUUCUUGGUGUAGCGGUGAUAUGCUUAGAUAUCGUGAAGAUCGCCGAUAGCGAAGUCAGCCCGUUAAGCCCCCACUGUCGCUGAGGCUAAAAAGGGCGGGUAUCAUCC
RNAcentral lists this ribosomal RNA (579 nucleotides) under uncultured bacterium. Its description in RNAcentral is "bacterial SSU rRNA". It matches the Rfam family "Bacterial small subunit ribosomal RNA", at positions 195 to 773 of the family's 1533-position model. The record is from RNAcentral.